AACGAACGCUGGCGGCAUGCCUAACACAUGCAAGUCGAACGAGCCCUUCGGGUCUAGUCGCGCACGGGUUCGUCACGCGUGGGAACCUGCCCUUGGGUUCGGCCUACCUCCCCGACAGGGGUGCUAAUGGCGGAUCAUGUCUUCUGACCAAAGAUUUAUCGACCUUGGAUGGUCCCGCGUUGGAUUAGCUAGUUCGUAGGGUAAAAGCUUGCCCAGACGAUGAUCAAUAGCUGGUUAGAGAGGAUGAUCAGCAACACCGGGACGGAGACACGGCCCAGACUCCUACGGGAGGCAGCAGUAGGGAAUAUUGGAAAAGGGGCGAAAGUCUGAUCGAGCAAUGCCGCGUGAGUGAUUAAUGCCUGAGGGUUGUAAAGCUCUUUUACACGGGAUGAGAAUGACAGGACCGGGAGAAUAAGCUCCGGCUAACUCCGUG
Molecule: ribosomal RNA, 433 nt
Filed under: uncultured bacterium
Lineage: Bacteria
Description: partial 16S ribosomal RNA
Rfam family: Bacterial small subunit ribosomal RNA
Source: RNAcentral